CUCCCUGCUUCCUUUUGAGGUCCUGCCGCUGGACCCCUCAGCUCUGCUGUGGCCUAUGGCUUUUCAUUCCUAUGUGAUUGCUCCUCCAAACUCAUGUAGGGCUAAAAGCCAUGGGCUACAGUGAGGGGCGCACUCCUGCUGCAGCCACAGAGGGGGCACCGGGGGAUGGUUCGCUCUGGGGUGGGGACUGGAGGGGAUCUAGGAACCCAGGGGCCGGGGUGGGCUGUGUGAUCUUGGCCAAGUCACUUCCCCUCUCUGAACCUGGCUCCUCACCCUGGGAUGAAGAGGCUGGUCCGAUGCUUCCAAAGGGCGAGUCCCCCCAGGAAGGAAGGAGACACUCAGGGUGUGUGCUGAGGUCUCUGGCCAACCCCGAGGCCCCGGCUGCGGCUCGGAGAUUUGGGAGCUGGAGUCACAGGCACUGGGUCACAAAGACGGGCCUCUCCUCGAUGCGCCUUCUUCCAGCGCAGCCUCUGCUUCUUGGCCUCGCUCCCUUCGCCUCUGAGUUCAGCCCGGAACCCUCGGCCUUCUUCUGUGCAGGGAGGCCUGGAGUGCCUCGGUGGCUGCCCUGGGCACAUUCAGUCCCGCCAGGAGGGGCAGGAGGUUCCACAGAGUGGAAGCGGGCUGCCAGCUGCUCCCCACAGCAGCAGGUGUAAGCUCCGGGUCUCUAGCUCUUGGGCUGCCACCCUCCAGGUGUGUGAGCGGUACCUGCCCCCCACCCCCACCCCAGCUGCCUGUCACUCAGCUCGUCUGGCUGCCCCCUGAUGCCUGUUGCCGCACACACACGCACACACGCAGUCCCACCCUGGUUGAAUCUGCCUUGACUCUGUGCCACCAUCCUGGGAGACUCCAACAGAUGGAAAUAAGGCAAGCAGUCUGGCUGGAGUGGCAGAGGACUCACCGCCACCCCAUUCUCCCUCGUCCUGGGCCAGCCCGUGGCAGCCUCAGCGGGGUACUGGGUAGGGAAUGAGAGGACAAGUUACUGAGAAUGCCUUGCCCCCCCCCCCCCGCCCCCAGAGGCCUUCACCUACUCUGCAGCAGGCGUGAUUCUGAGCAUUUCACCUGUCCUACCGCAUCUAAUCCUCGAGACAACUAUAUCUACUAUUAGCCCAUUUUACUUAGGGGAAGUGCGAGGCACAGAGGAGCUAAGAAGCUGCGCUAAGCUCCCAUGGCUGAUAAAGGGCAGAGCUGGGUGCAGAACCCAUGCUUGCCCCGUCGGGGUAUGUUGGGAGGGCCAGCACCAGUCGGCGGGAAGGUGGGCUGUGCCGUGCUCGCGCGAGGGGGCUCUUCUCACAUGGCCUCCACUGGGUGCGUGCCCACACGUGGGCCCAACUCCAGUCACCCUUUGUCCAUUCUGGGUUUUCUUUUCCAGCAGGAGGUGAGUGGAAGGAGAAGCAAAGAGAAGCCCACGCCAGCUGGGCUCUUGCUGGCCUGAUCCAGGUCUCUUCCCCUCCUGCCCCAGCUUAGAUGGUGGAAGGGCUGGGGAAGAGGAGUGCCAGGGCUUCUUGCUUGCCCUCUGCGUUCUCUGGCCCAGAGAUCAGAGAUGGCUGGCACCUGCUCCCCCUCCCUCAGCGCCCCAGGCUCACCGUGAGCCCGUUCUGUUCCCUCUUCUAUCCCGAGAACCUCUAGGCACUUGAUCUGCUUCCCUUAGCUUCCCACCUCCGAACUGGAAAAUCAGGUUGCAGCGAGGGGCCCCCGGAAAGUGGAUCCCUCCCAGGAACCCUGUGCAGUUUGCCCACGAUGGCCUCAGCCCUGGGCUGGGCCUGGCAGGACAGGGACAGCGGAACCAUUCCCUAACCCUCCAGGCAAGCAAGGCAGUGAGUGGGGACUGCUGAGCAAAUGUUUGUGGAGUGAACGGCGUUGGGCUAACAGGUAAGUCACAAGCAGGGACAUGAGCAAGCCCUGGGCUCAGCACCUCAGCCCACAGUCCCACCUUUGCCGGGGGGUGGGGUGUUGGGUAUGCGCCAUGUCUGGGGUUACAAAGUUGGAGUGCUUUUCCACUGUGUCUCUUGGCCACUGCCAGUGGGGGCAGGCCUGGAGAAGAUACACAAUUCUAUAUUGCACACUAAUUGUUGAACUGCAUUGCACUGGCAAGCUGGCCCCAUGCGCUCCUGGAACUCCCUGAGGAUUCACAGAUCACAGGGCUAUGUCUCUGCCAUCCCCUGCCUGCAGCCGGCUGAAACCUGAAAUGCUCUAGCAAUGGGAGUCCUUUGUGGUCUUCACAUAGGCGCAGCCUGAGGCCUCCCCUGGGAGUGCAGCUGGGAUUUGGGUGAAUCUCAUUGGGUUUGCCCACUUUGAGAGGAAAUGCAAUUUGAUGGCUAAGCUUACAAGGAAAAACCUCUCUGUCCCUGUCUUCAGGGAGGGAUGGCCCCAAGCUUUGACAGCUGGGGUCCCUUCUGGCAUUGAUGGCCUCGGCCGCCAGGGGCCUGGCUGCUGCUGCUGCCCUUAUCACACUCGCCAUGACCCUGAGGGUGGGCAUAAGCCCCUUUGGAGACUACUGACACUUUGACCCUCUAGCUGCACGGUCCCCCGAGCAUCCCAGAACCACUGGUAAUGGCGGGGCUGCCCUUGGAGACUUCAAGGCUACGGGGAGCUUUGUCUUUCCCCAUAGGCAGGCCAGCAAGGAGCUAGGCGGUGGGUGGCCUUGGUGAGCCAGGGUCUGGGUGGCCUCUGACCGCCACAGAGGGCUCAGAUCCCAGGAUCUCAGCAAGCCCGAGGCAGGUCCAGGAAGGAGUUAACCUCCGAGGAGAACGCGGGCUUGUCCCCAGCCUGAGGCCGGUGCCCAGCUUAGCUGCUGCCAACUCGGGGGAGAAGCCCUGGGAUCUGUAGUCUGUGCCACCACCCAGCCCUGGCCGGCCUGUUUAUCAGCACCGGCUGGUAGACUACAGUUCCCAGCAAGCUACAGAGGCUCCUCUUUGGGGGAAGGGGUGGGUGUGAGGCUCGGUGGCGGCGGGAGAGCGGGAGCGGGAGGAGGUGGGGAGAGCAGCCCAAUUCACCCCCUUCCUUUUUAAUUCUUUCUCCUGGUGUGUCUGCUCCACCGCCCGAGCUAAUCCCCCAAAUCCGGUCUCCUAAGCCGCAGCUGCUUCCCCGCGCCGUGAUGAAUGGCUCGGGGAGGGAAGGUGUCCUGGCUUGCCCUGCUGCCCACCACGAUGGAGGACACGGCCCAGACCCCUGUCUCCAAGGAGGCACCACGGUCUGUGAGCCCGGAGCCCCGCUUCCUCCCCUCCUCCCUAUCACAGAAGUCCCCGUGCCAUCUCUGACCCACUGCCCCAUUUUUGCCCCAGGCAUUAGGGUGGGAGGACCCCUGGAGAGAGUGCCACGGAGAGAAGUGGGGUGAGGGCCCAGGGAAAGGGGGAGCUGGGGAGCACCGGGUGGUCCAGGAGGGCCAGUGCUCUGGCUUGAUCUCAGCUCCCACCUCCCUGGCCUGGCAGAGGAGCCCUGCAGUCCCCAGACCCCAGACCAUCUUGCACCUAGCUGGGGCCCAGCCAGAGGGGAGGAUGGGGAGGCAGCCAGGGCCAACAGCUUGCGGCGGAUGCGGCCAACUGUGGGACUGCGGGAGGUUUGUCCAGCGUCCACCCCCUCGCCUUCUAUUCUGGGUUCCUGGGGGCAGCUUUGCCAUUGCUUAGCCCCUGCAGGACUGUGGGCCUGAAAUGGGAGGUGGGAGGGUGGGGGAGUGGGAGGGGAGUUCCCAUCUGGAGCGCAGAGAAGUGGGGGUGUCCCCAGGCUCUAGUCCAGACCCUCCCACACAGAUAGACACAGCAGGGGAGGGUCACUGGGGCCUGGCUUCUCCGGGGAGCCUCCAGCUGGUGCUGGACUGAGCUGCCAAGUGUGUGGGGUACAGGCUGGGGAGGCAGUGGUGAGAACUGGCAGAGACCACAGCCCAAGGUACCUGCUGGGGGGGUUGGGGGAGGCAAGGCACUGUAAGCAGGACUGGGGUCUCUCCACUGCAGGGGCCGGCCCGGCCUCCUGUGAGCCCCCCACAGAGCUCAGGCUGGCUGUGCUCUGCACAGGGGUGACCCUCUCAGGUCCUGCCUUGGGAACUGGGACCCAGGAACCCCACUGAGGUUGUCCCUGCCCCCAGGACUCACCUGGGAGAGAGAUUGCAGCGCCUAGCCCGGCUCCUGCAGGUCCUGGUUCCCCUUAUCCAUACCCCUGCCCUGCCUUCCUUACAGAAGUGGGCCGGUCAGAAAAGUCUGAUUUUCCCCACCUCUCUCAAAGCACCCCAGGGAAGAGGCUUAGAGAAGAGGACCCACGUGCCCUGGGCUCCAGGAACCAGGCUCCCUGAGCUACGCCCAGGCCUGGGUGGUCAGGGCCCCUUGCCCGGUUUGUAUUCCUUGUGAUCCCCUCUCCUAGGCCAGCCUUGUUGUACCUGUGGAUUUCUCCCCUUGGAUUUUUUUUUUUUAUUUAAAUACACUUAUUUAUUAGAAAGGCAGAGUUACAGAGGCAGGGGGUGGGGAUCUUCCAUCCGCUGGUUCACUCCCCAAAUGGCCACAACAGCCAGAGCUGAGCUGUUCAGGAGCUUCUUUUAGGUCUCCCACGUGGGUGCAGGGUCCCAAGCACUUGGGCCAUCUUCUACUGCUUUCCCAGGCCACAGCAGAGAGCUGGAUUGGAAGUGCAGUAGCUGGGACUCCAACCAAUGACCAAAUGGGAUACUGGCACUGCAGGCGGUGGCUUUACCCACUACACCACAGUGCCAGCCGCCCGUGGAUUUUUCAUAGUGGUGCGAACGCUCUGUUGACAGUGCCCCUGACAUGCAGUCCAGCAAGGGACGUGUGUAGUGCAGUCACCGAUUACUGCAGAACCCCCACCGCCACACCCCUACCUUCUACCUGGGCAGGCAGGAGUCCCAGUGCCUUUCCUGCCUCUUAGCUUUGGGGCUCUGCAUGUUAAACCUUGGCUAACCUCCCAGCACACUGAGAUGAGGAAGGCCCAGAGAGAUGGAGCCACUCACCCAGGGUGACACAGCACGCCAGCAUCCCAGCCAGGUAUAGAGCCCAGGCCCCCUGAGCCCCUGUGUAGAGCCCUGUUUCUCUCUAGGCUUGUCAUGGGAGGGCCCCCGAGGUAGCUGUGAUAGGUAGAUCUAGAAAUACAGUAGUAGUAGUCCCGGUGCCAUCUAUAUAUAUCCCGCGAGCGCUCCCGGUUCACUGUGUACACUCCAGCAGAGUGAGCGAGGAGGUGGCGCGGAGAGGGGAUUAUUAAGUAACAGCCUACCUACUGCUGACUCAAGCUGGGCCGCCUGCCCACCCAGCCAGCCGUUGGAGGUGCCUGGCACCUAUUAAUUACAGCGAUUAGAUGUAUUACCCGGACGCCGAGGGGCCGAGGGAGGGAAGAUCGCUCCCGGAACCAGGCUCCGCAGCGCUUGCUGAGUUCUCUGUUUGGCCUGGAGGAACACGAAGCAAGGUUGGCCAGCCUCCUCCACCCUGCAGGUGUGCCCUGUGUGGGGGACCUAGGGUUUUGAGGGGGGGUGCCCCAUGCUUCCUUGUUCCAAACCCCUCCAGGCUGGCCCUGUGCCUCCCUCCUUGCCCUCAGCGUUCAGACUUUGCUUUCCUGCUUCCUCGAGAGAGCUGUGACUCGGCUCAGACCCGACCUCCACGCCAGGUGCUUCCCUCCCCCAGGGCCAGCUGCUCUGCUCCUUCGGACCUGUGCUCCGUGCACAGCAGGCUCAGCAGGAGGAAGGGGGCGAAGUGGAGCAACUGCAGGUGCAUGCGGAUAGGGAACCCUGACACCCCCUCAACGUCUGCAGAGUGGAUGCUCCUGCAGACAGAGCUGUCCUGAAGCCCCACCCACCCCUGAGAGUGAGUGCUCCCUGGGUGGAGGCAGGGCCAGGCCAGCCUGGGCAGGUCCAGCCUCAGCCACUCCCCACUCCCCCAGGCUUACUUUGGUGACAGGAAAGAAACUCUUCACCAUCUUGUACCCACCUCCCAGCCCCUGUGCCCUGCCCAGGUGCUAAAUAAAACAGCCUGUUGGCUCAAGAACUCUGCUGUCUGUUCUCUGCCUGGCGAGCAGGGGGUUCUGUGUUGCUCUGGGCGCUCCGAGCGCAUUCUGCUAAACCCUCGCUGCUAAGGGAGAGAGGAAGCCCUGACUCGGUUCCAGGUGGCAAAGGAGAGGCCGCGCUGGAGGAGUGUUUCUUAGGCAUCAGAGGCCUGCAUCCGGGUCCUUGCAGGUGUGGCCCCCACGCACCUCCACCUGCCCAUGGUGGCACAAGCUUGUUUUCUGCCAGGUGUUUCCAGCCACAGAUGCAUGGUGCUGAGUGAGGCCGAGGGGGCGGCCGCCUGGAGGAAUGACGUCAGCUCAGAUCAGGAAGCGCUGUAGUCCGGUGGCCGGUGUGAGAGGCGGCAGGGCCCCCGCAGCCUCUGGGGGGCGCGUUAACCCCAGCGUGCUUCUCUCUCCCUGCCUUCUCCCACAUCCUUUCCCUGCAGAUCUCCGCUGAGCGUCCCCGGCCUGGCCUAGGGCAUGCCCCAGUUCACCUUCGCCUGCUUCUGUGGCCUCCACGGCUUCUGCAAGAUGAAGAGGAAGAAGGAGGACGUUCACAGAGAGCGGGAAACAGCGGUGUGAGCAAGACCAGGGUCCCCUGGCUGCCCCAGCAAGGCCCAGGCCUGAGGCUGCCCAGUGCUGGCCAGUGCUCUUGCGGGACGGGAAGCCUCAUGGGCAUCUUGGAGCUCCACUGAGCCCUGCUCUUCUCAGUGCAGCCUGGCUCCACCCCGAGGGCCCCGGACUCCUGGGUGCCGCCAAGGCCUCCUUGUGCCCGCAUACAUGGGCGUGCAGUCCUGAGAGCUGCCUGCGAGAGGCCCCGGCGCACAGGGGAACUCCAGGACCUGCCAAUCACCUUCCAGAGAUGCCCCAGGGAGGCCCAAGAGUGGAACUUCCUUCCUGCCCUUCCAGGGAGAGAUGCAUCCCAUUGGGCCAAGACAGCAGUUGCUAACUAAGGAACUGGCUGCCCUAGCAGAGCGCUGGGAGCAGUCCUCAUGAUGGGGCGAGACCUCCACCUCCAAGGCCAGGACGGGGUCUCUCCUGGGACUCCAGGAUACAGAGCAGGAGCAUCGCAUGCCACAGCAGUGUCCCCUGAGUGCUCCCUCCCCCCCUCCCCCCCGCCCAGCAUCCCAGGUGCAGCCAUGCCUGAGGUGGCCGGCCUGGGUGCGAAAGGGCGGUAGGAUGGGGACACUGUGGCAGAGCAGCGGGUGGAUGUGGCCUUGUCUCUUGCCAGCCCUGCUGCCCCACACACCAAAGCAGUCUUUCCUCCAGCCCUGGCCCUGACCCGCUGGCCCCAUGCUAUAUGUGUGUGCCACCUCAGCAGGAGCCUCCCUGGUCCUCUGUCCUUGGGGACACUGGAGGCCUUGGGUGAGCCCAAGAGAAGGGCAGGAAAGCGUGCAGGGGCUCCCCUGAGACAGAGGGUCCUGCGCCCUCCUCUGGGACCCGUGUGUCCCCAGCCAUGGCCCGAGAGGCUGCAGUGCUAGGACUGUCUCUUCAAUAGCGGGGGAUGAAACUGUAUCUGAGACGCUGGGGUGUUGGGUGCCGGUCCCAGGGGCUUCCCAGGCGGGAAGGUCAGGAGCAGGGACAACAUGGGCCCUGCUGGCACCUCAGACCGACCCUGGCAGGAUUGCAGCAGCAGGGCUUGGCCCGGAGCCCUGCAGGGUUUCUUCCCCCAGGAGAAAUCUCCAGGCUCCAGAGGGAUACCUGAUAGCCGGAGUCCCUGCUGUGGGAACCUGGGUGGCGGCCCAAGGUCAAGGCCCAGCUGGGCCGUGCAGAGCUGUCCUUGGCCUCCCAGCUGGCGGCCCUUCGUUAUCCAGGGCUAAAGUUGGGUCCAAGGUUGCAGCUGCUAUGGCCAGACACCACCCCCCCACACACACACACACAUGUUAUGGCUCCCUCAGUUUCCUUCUCAGGGAGAUGGGGACUGGCGUCCUCUUCCUAUCCCUACAGCCUUAAGGGACCCCGGGGAGACAGGUGGGGUCCAGGAAGGCAGCCACACCGCCGCCCACAUGCCGAGGAGUCUCACUCCUUCCCAGAGCUCCAGGGGAGAACUCUGCCCCCUUUGUUCCCAGUUCCCGGCCCUCCCUGCCUGCUUCUGGGAGACCCCAGGCUGAGCUGGGGGGCUCACGCCUCUCGUGCUGUGGAAAGUUGGGGCUCCAGUUUCCCCAUCUCCAACUGGACUGUCUACUCCUGCUUUUCCCUCUUGGGCUGCAGGCUGUGGGAGGAAGAGGAAGACUUGAGUGGUGUCUGGGCCCUUGGCCCUCUGGACCCCAGAGGCUUCUGGUCCCAGGUCAAAGCCUCUGUAUUAGAAUGCCCUGUCCUGCUCCACUCCCAGGGGGCAGAUUUUGAAUGUCGCAGUGGCUCCAUGGAAACACUGGGGCCAUUGUCAUUUGAUGGGGGGGGGGGGCAGUAAUUCCACAUGGCGUGGUCCAGUGGGAUGCCACGAGCUCUGGGCUGGGGACCUGCUCUCCGGGGUUCCAGCUUGAGGACCUGGUGACUCACAAUCCUGCGCUGGUCACAUUUUACUUUCCUCAGCUGUGAGGAGGGGGUGGUGCUAACUUCUGCCCUGCACCCCUGGGAGUCCAGGGCUCUGUGGGUGUGGGUAGGAGCCUCUGUGGGGCUCAGGGCAGUGGAAAUGGAGGAGCUGCAGGGACCCUGGGCCCCAGCGCAUGCCCUGGGCACGCGGCAACCGUGAGGAGGUGGGGGAAUCAGCAAACCGAGUUAGCUGAGCUGUUGCUAGAACUCUCCCCUGCAGGGCCCCAGGGGGGUGAGUGAGGUGGCCUGGACUCUGGCUGCAGGCCCUGUCCAGGUCAUCACAGGUGCCACCCCGCAUAUACUCUCUCUGUCUCUCCCUCCACCACCACCUGCUCUAGAGAUUCUAGGAGGAAUCUCAAGGAGCAGCGCUGGUCCGCAGCUGUGUGACCCAGGCAGCCCCUGCACAGCUGCCAGUGUGCCUACCGCCCUGCGCUCAGUUCUUGCUGUCUGCAAGGGGAAGUGCCCCCGGCUGGAGUUUGCCCGGUGGCUUGGGAAGUGCUGGCGGUUAGAGGGGCCAACGGCUGGCUGGCUUUGGAUGGAGAGCCGCAGCCCCCAGCUCCCCACUGACUCCUGACCUCUGCGAAUCACUUCCUCCUCUCUGUCAGAGGUGACAAGGACUCCCAUGGCUCCCGCGGGCAGGCACACAGUCGGAGGGCGCGUGGCGUCAGAUGUGCCUUGAACUUUUGGAGACGUGAAGGUGGUGGCCUUACGGCAGGGAAGGAACCGCCUGGGUGGCCGUGUGCAUUUGGCUCCUGGCAGGCUGGCCCUGCAGGUCUCGUGCUGAUCCUGCGCAGAGCCGGUGAGAGUACCGAGCACCCCAAGAGCCAAGAUCUGGAAUCUGUUCCUUCAACACGAAAGCAAGAUCAAGACAUGGCUUCCCAGUUCCAUGUUGCUGAACAGUCCCGCACCAGGGCGUCUGGCUAUGUCAGAAUCCUCCAGACCCCCCAGGCCAUCCUGGAGUGGUCUUUGUCCACUGUGUGGGGUGUGUGGCCGUCCCACCUGGGUGCCCAUGGGAUCAGGGGCACAGAAACUUGGCUCUGUAGGGGAGCCCAGGAUGUCAGACCACCCACCAGGAGGGUACGCUGAGGAAUAAAUUCCAAAAGCCAGAAACCCCCAGGUUCUGGAGUUCAAGGCUUUUCCCGCUGGGCGGCUGGUCGCCUCCCUUCCCCUCUGGGGCAGCCCUCCCUCCUCGCUCAGCUCAUUGCUACGUUCCAUCCGUUCCGUUCCAUCCGAGGGGCGGGAGGCGGCGAGGCAGGAGGGGGAGAUGGCAGGACCCAGACAGAUCCUCCGGACUCUCCCAGCCUCCGUUGCCAUGGCAACGCUGCUAUUUUUAUCCCCUUGUUCAUGAUGCUCAGAGCUCUGACUUUCUCCGUUCCAGAGAGGCCAGGCUGGCUUCUGCCCUCAUCCCACAGCACAGCGCCUUCUCCCAGCAGCCCGAGGAGGGACAAGACUGAUGCAAGGAAGGAGGACCCCCGGGGAACCCCCUCAGAGGUCUGUCUCUUCACUUUUCUUCCUGGCUUAGUCCGCCAGGUGCUUGUUUUCAAGAUCAAAACUCCCCCUGGUCUCCCUGGGAGGCUGCCCUGAGAGGAUGAAGGAAGCUGGGUGUCUCAGGAUGGACUUUUGCCCCACAGUGGUGACACCAAGUGGUUCCCCUUCUCGGGAAAGCCGGACUUGGCUCUGCAGACUGUCCUGUUGGUGCAAGGGGACAGAGAACCAGGUUUGGUUCAUCAGCGAUCAGAUACACAAGGGCGGGGAAUCAAAACCAAGGCUUUCCUUUCUGGUCUGUCCCUCUACCAAAGAACUAGGACAAAUGGCCUCAUGUCUUUGUCCCAGAGCAAAACAGCAGAUCCUCUGCAGGCCGGGAAGCAGGCAGCCCUGUUUCCCUCCAGAGACUUGAGGUCUUGACUCGGUAUUACCGAAAGCGAUGCUCUCAAAGGCGCAGUUUAAUGAAAGUUCUCAGAGCUGCCCUUGCUCUGUCUCUCCUCCCAAGUUCCCACCUCCGCCCAGGGGCAGGGGAGCCCUGAGUGAAUGGUGCUAACAUCCGCAUACUCUCCUCUGCGGGUCAGUGACCUCCGAGCCCAGCACCUGGGGUAGCUGAGUCUCAUAUCCUAAAACUGUGACCUUGAAGAUGACCCAGAUCUUAGCCCAGUCAAGUAGCAGUCCCUACCCUCUAACUCCUGCACUGAGGUCCUGCCUCAGCUGAGCUGGCUCCUGGAUGGCUCAUUUUCCUGGGGUGGCUGGAACCCACUUCCUAAGCCUCGUGUUGGUUUCGUUUUGGCUCAAGCUGCACGGUUUCCCGAAUCUAUGCACCUGGAGUAAGCACUUUUCUGGUUGCCACUGAAAAGCAUGCCGGCGAACGCUGCUCUGUUAAUUGCUGUAAUAAACAGAGUUUAUUACA
This is a non-coding RNA of Oryctolagus cuniculus (rabbit), 10900 nucleotides long. The record is from RefSeq and is a predicted model, not a curated record. NCBI's taxonomy places the organism in Eukaryota, Metazoa, Chordata, Mammalia, Lagomorpha, Leporidae.